Molecule: long non-coding RNA, 1578 nt
Filed under: Homo sapiens (human)
Lineage: Eukaryota; Metazoa; Chordata; Mammalia; Primates; Hominidae
Description: HSALNT0263982
Source: RNAcentral
GGCAAGCAGCUUAGAUCCAGGCAAGGGAAGACAGAACCGUCUUUAACCAGAGAAGCAGAAACAGUUGUAGCACAGCUCAUAGAGAAAGUGUUGGAGCAUGGAGUAAAUUCAACUGCCUGGGUAGCGCGCCAGCUGGAGGAAGGCAGCAAUUGGAUAACUGGAUUUGUGUCAGGAAAAUGAGAGAGAGGAGGAAGGGAGUGAGAGAGACAGACAGAGGGAGGGAGAGAAAGAGAGAUUGAGCUUUCUUCUUCCUCCCUUCUAUUUGGCCUUGGAAUACCCUGCAGACAAAGAUGGACUUCCUUUAGCCGUGUCCUCUGGCCCAGGCUACCAUCACCCCCCAAAGCCCUGAGCUUGAAACUGGGGUCAAGAAACAGCAAUUGUCGCCACAAAUGAAGAAUGUUCACGUUUGUUUUACAACUUCUUAAUGCACCGCAUUCAGUCUUCCUGUAAACUUGACUGCUUAGUCCUUAAAGUAUAUUGGUGGAGCAAUGUCUGCAUGCCUUCGUCAACACAUCUAUUGGCCUGUUUGUCCCAGCAUCCCAGUUGGAAUGGGAACCCUUCUAAGAAAAGCCUUUAUCCUUUACUCACCUACAAACUCACUGGGCACCCCCGGAAUUGUGGUCCUGGGCGUAUAGCAGGUGUCUAGUCACUCUUUUCUGGUUGUGCCAGUAAUUGGGGCCUGAUUACAAUUCUGUUUCAUCCAGUGCACCUCAAUGGAGAGAAACCAGCAAGAAACUCAUGCUUUCUGCCCCAUCUCCUUCCUUUCUUCUGUGUGUAAAGUGGAGAAAAGGCUGGAGAGUGUGGUAAGAUAGGAAGAAACCAAGCAAAGCACACAUAAACAAACAAAUGAAUAAAUAAAAGGGAAAAAUAGGGGAGAUUUUGAGUUGUCAAGAAAAGAAGAACUCUGAACUUUUGGCACAGACUCAAACCUGGAAACCCAGUGAGGUUUGCCCAUCACUAAUGAUCACAUAAUAAUAUGUUCCCAGGGGAGGGGCUGAGAGAGGCUAUUAAAAUACCGCAGCUCUGGUGCUCUAUGGGAGACAAGUUUUCUGAAACGUGGUCCCUGUCAGAUUUCCCUUGAGAGUCAAAGGGAAAAAUGACUGCAGUUUGGCUUCUAAAAGGUAAAAUGUUGGGAAAACUCACUGGGGAGGUUUCUUUCCCCAGCACAGGGUUUGGAAAUGCCUGCGUUUGCGUUGUAUAUUUUAAAUGUGGUGAUGGGCCAGCUUGUUAAGUGUGCUGGCUUGCUUACUGGGUGACUGGCAGGCAGCCGUAAGUGAGCGGAAACAAAACCAUUUGUGGGGUAUGAGGUGGCCAAGGUAGCCAGAACCAGCCUUUUGUGAUGUCUUCAAUAAAAACAGUUAUUUCAACGGGUGUUGGCAACUCGGCCUUUCCUUCUAGAAAGAUAGGAUUCUUGGGUGGAGUACACAUGGGUCUACGGGCAUCUUGACUGAUCACUGUGGCCUAUGAAAAGCCCUAAUUUCACCAUAUCUUAUGGGUUACACAUGGUAGGGCUCAGUAAAGGGUUUUGUGUUUUGUUUUUUGUGUUUUUUGAGACAGAGUGUCAGUCUUGUUGCCCAG